This is a non-coding RNA of Coprinopsis sp. MPI-PUGE-AT-0042, 97 nucleotides long. Lineage: Eukaryota; Fungi; Basidiomycota; Agaricomycetes; Agaricales; Psathyrellaceae. The record is from the annotation of a GenBank genome assembly.
GCCGUCGUAGCACAAUGGUAGUGCGUUGCUUUCCUAUGCAUGUAUGAGCCCGUGUGUAUUGAGGCAGAGGCUGUGGGUUCGAGUCCCACCGUCGGUU